RNAcentral lists this ribosomal RNA (306 nucleotides) under Triticum aestivum (bread wheat). Its description in RNAcentral is "partial small subunit ribosomal RNA". Lineage: Eukaryota; Viridiplantae; Streptophyta; Magnoliopsida; Poales; Poaceae. The record is from RNAcentral.
AUGGCUGCAUCUGCGCUGAAGAUGGCGGCCAUCUGCACCGUGCUGGUCCUUCUCCUGUGUGGCGCGGGGCAGCCAGCGAUGGCCUACGUCGACGACGGGCUAGCUUGCCCUAGCCCCGGGACGCCAUGCCGUGUAGGAUGCUUAUCUGCGUGCGACACCAGCUCGCGGAAGGUGUGCAACAUGCUCUGCGGCCUCACGCCGUCGGUGCUCGACGGGGCGGACCAGGGUUGUGUGAAUCAAUUCCUCUUCUCUUGCAUGGCCAUCUGCAAGAACUUGUGCGAGCCCCUCCCGGUUAAGACCCCCUGA